This 460-nucleotide ribosomal RNA is filed under the name uncultured bacterium. RNAcentral's name for it is "partial 16S ribosomal RNA". It matches the Rfam family "Bacterial small subunit ribosomal RNA", at positions 338 to 795 of the family's 1533-position model. The record is from RNAcentral.
CCUACGGGCGACAGCAGUGAGGAAUAUUGGUCAAUGGCCGGAAGCCUGAACCAGCCAAGUAGCGUGCAGGAUGACUGCCCUACGGGUUGUAAACUGCUUUUAUACGGGGAUAAAGGUCCUUACGUGUGGGGCUUUGCAUGUACCGCAUGAAUAAGGACCGGCUAAUUCCGUGCCAGCAGCCGCGGUAAUACGGAAGGUCCGGGCGUUAUCCGGAUUUAUUGGGUUUAAAGGGGGCGUAGGCCGGAUGUUAAGCGUGCUGUGAAAUUUUGGGGCUCAACCCGGGCAGUGCGGCGCGAACUGGCGACCUUGAGUGCGCGGAAGGCAGGCGGAAUUCGUGGUGUAGCGGUGAAAUGCUUAGAUAUGACGAAGAACCCCGAUUGCGAAGGCAGCUUGCUGCAGCGGAACUGACGCUGAAGCUCGAAAGCGCGGGUAUCGAACAGGAUUAGAUACCCGGGUAGUC